CUAAGAAUAUUCCGCAAUGGACGGAAGUCUGACGGAGCGACGCCGCGUGGAUGACGAAGGCCGAAAGGUUGUAAAGUUCUUUUGCUGGGGAAGAAUAACCGCAGGAGGGAAUGCCUGUGGGAUGACAAGAACCGGCGAAUAAGCCCCGGCCAACUACGUGCCAGCAGCCGCGGUAACACGUAGGGGGCGAGCGUUGUUCGGAAUUACUGGGCGUAAAGGGCAUGUAGGCGGCUUGGAAAGCCUGGCGUGAAAGUCUGCAGCUUAACUGCAGGGGUGCGCUGGGAACUGCUGAGCUUGAGUGACGGAGAGGGAGCUGGAAUUCCUGGUGUAGGGGUGAAAUCUGUAGAUAUCGGGAAGAACACCGAUGGCGAAGGCAAGCUCCUGGCCGAUGACUGACGCUGAGGUGCGAAAGUGUGGGGAUCAAACAGGAUUAGAUACCCUGGUAGUCCACACAGUCAACGAUGUGCACUAGGUGCUGGGGCGGUAGCUUCGGUGCCGGAGCGAACGUGGUAAGUGCACCGCCUGGGGGAGUAUGCUCGCAGGGGUGAAACUUAAAUGAAUUGACGGGGUCAUAGCUGUUUCCU
This 584-nucleotide ribosomal RNA is filed under the name uncultured bacterium. RNAcentral's name for it is "partial 16S ribosomal RNA". It matches the Rfam family "Bacterial small subunit ribosomal RNA", at positions 355 to 1375 of the family's 1533-position model. The record is from RNAcentral.